RNAcentral lists this transfer RNA (68 nucleotides) under Marmota monax (woodchuck). RNAcentral's name for it is "tRNA.Gly". The stretch from base 5 to 65 matches the Rfam family "tRNA", at positions 6 to 65 of the family's 71-position model. Rfam says of the family: Transfer RNA (tRNA) molecules are approximately 80 nucleotides in length. Their secondary structure includes four short double-helical elements and three loops (D, anti-codon, and T loops). The record is from RNAcentral. Lineage: Eukaryota; Metazoa; Chordata; Mammalia; Rodentia; Sciuridae.
GGAUUGUGGCUCAGUGGUAGAGCACUUGCCCGCCAUGUGUGAGGCACUGGGUUCGAUUCUCAGCACCA